CUAGCGCAAUGUACCGGUCCCUACACACGGAAAAAAAAGUCCGGCGCGGCUCACCGAGCGCACCCGUGUGUGUCACCGGGCGCGCCGGUCCUUAUAGGGCUACAGAAGAAUACCGCAUUGCCAUAUUGGGCCGUCCGGUGAAAUUCACCGGUCCUGUCCAGCGUUCCGAGGCUGCACAGUCUGGGCACCACUAUGUCUUUGUCCGGCCGCCGCGAACGGUAUACCGUCCCUGCAGCGGGCGCUACCCUGUAAGUGGCACCGUUACUUUUAUCUCGGCCGGUCACUUCAAUCCCAGCCACCUGUCUCGCUCACUGGAAUUACCCAUUGGCCCAAAUGAAGAAAAAUCCUGUACCGCCACUGGGAAUAAUACCCGUUGUAGGUCCAGUCAAAAUGCCAUGCGUGUCGGACGUUCUGGAAAUGAAGAACCAAUUAAGCAAUAACAUUAGCCUAAUCGCAAGGGUGAGACAUAUAUUUCUUCUAGUGGUGACCGAAUAUGCAAUUAACUUAGAUGUCAUAUGUUUAGCUUCUAGUCUCAUCACCCACAUAUCAAGAAAGCUGGCAAAUAACUUCAGAUACCUAGGAUAGUGUACUAAGUGAUGAAACUUGUUCUUUAAAUUAGCUUGUGAACACUGCAAAUAUAAUUUAUGGUGAUCUCUAAUAUACACCUUCAGUUGAAUUUCACACUCUUCCUGGAUAUUUUUAGACAAAACAAUGUCUAAGAUGCUUCGUAGACUUAAAUACAAGAGCCAAAAAGGAUCAUCUUCUGGAAUUUCACAGUCACAAAACAUAAUACCAAAAUACUUACAAAAGAUUAACAUUUGAUGCGCAGACAUACUCAAUUUACCUUUUUCAACAUCUAAUUUAGACUGCAAGGGAGGUCUAUUUCGCUUAUCUAUUAACCCAAAAUCAAAACUUUCUAAGCGCAAAUUAAACUUAUCCAUAUCAAAAUACUUUUCCUCAAAAAUGAAAUUUGUGAGAAUUAGAGUCAUAUCGUAGUGGCAAAUGCCUUCGAGCAAAUCAUGAAAGCUGUCAACAGCAACCGACGUGGUUACAUGAAAAUCAUAUACCUUGUUCCAAAUAGAAUUAGAUCUUACUCCAGUUUGUGACAGAUCGUUUGUUACCAGAUCUCUCUCGUAAGACUCAACAGUUCGCAGUAGGCCUGGAUUUUCCUCUAAAUCAGAGUGCAAGUUGUUCCUAUGUAUGUUACAAAUUCUGCAGGGAAAAUUGGCCGUAAAACCUUCGGCAAAGUCAAUCAACUGGUGAAGACCAAGGUUGUCACCCUGAAGUAAGGCAAGAUGAAAAAAAAUUGUUCUUGAGAAUGAGUUGGUCUUAAAUUCUAUACCUUCUGUGGCUAGUUCAUUUAGCUCCUUGAUUAAAAGCCGAAACACUGCUUCAUUGCCGAAAGUCUUACGAUCUGCGCUAUGGAAUAGUAAAACAACAAAUAUGUACUUCAGUUUUGACCGUAAGUGAGGGGGGAUGCAAGGCAUUGUCAUGUAAGUGCCUCCCAAUUUAUGGACCGUUUUACUUGGUCCGAUAGGGUUAGUCACUUCAAACUCGUCUACAAAGAUAAAAAUCGGGAGGAUGGUUUUUCCUGGGUGCCUAAGCAAUUUAUCUCGCCAAUAGCUGCCUUGAAUGAAGUUAGAAAGAAGAGAGUGAUCUGAGUUGAGAAGUUUGUUAUUGUACUCCAGGACCUCAUUAAGGAAAGUGGAUUCACCUAAGAGUCUCUCCAAAAUACGUUUGGGAGAUAUGAACUGACCCGUGACAGGCACAGGUACUCUUAGAGCUUCUCCCUUCACAUACUUUUGAUCUGUUCGUUGACCAGCUAUGUUAAAUUCAAAUGGUGGAAUAUAAGUCCCUUGCUUUUCAAAAUGUUUAACCUCUUAUACUCUGUCCCUAAGGCACUAAAAGGAUUGCCCAAUUUCUCUAAAAGAUUUUGAACUUCUAUAUUAUCAGAUACCCCUGGCAGUAAAAUUUCGAGUUUAUCUUUCAUUAUUUGUGCCGUUGAAUCAAACAAGCUAGAAGCUUCAUCGACAACUGUUUGGAUGAAGUUCCGCGGUACAGAAACACUAGAGUACAAUUUAGCCAAGAACAAAGCAGCUUCUUCACUCAUCUGGGAUAGGGGAUUAAUCGAUGCUUCAGAUAAGUCGGACAUCUCCACAUCAUCUACAGGUUCAUUACCUACGACACCAUGAUCAUCGAUGAUGUCAUUAGAGGAAGGUUCAUUUAACGAAUUGGAGAAGCCUGCGUGUGAAAAAUUUUCAACACCAGAUACACUUCUUCUACAGCAACGGGGGAAAUGAUUAAACAAAUAUCUCAUGCAUGAAAAUGGCUGCUUGCACUCAUUACACUUUACACUAUCUGUGAGAGGCUGUUUACCAUGAAUUAACUUUAAAUGUUUUUUCAGCGCUUUCACAUUAAAAAAUUGCUUACAUACGUAACAUGAAGGCAUGGUCCAGAGCAAAAAAAAAUACAAAAUAUCUAAUGAUAAAAUUAAAAUAAAAAUUAAGUUAACUUGAACUAGAGUCGGAGGCGGAAAUGCAAUUUAAGCUGUUGAUUAAAUCAUUUACUGCCCUAUGAGAUUUACUAUUAGAUUUUACAUCUAUCUUAAACACAUGCUGUUGA
RNAcentral lists this long non-coding RNA (2622 nucleotides) under Bemisia tabaci. RNAcentral's name for it is "lncRNA ENSSSA3NGG010892". The record is from RNAcentral. Lineage: Eukaryota; Metazoa; Arthropoda; Insecta; Hemiptera; Aleyrodidae.